GAUGAACGCUGGCGGCGUGCCUAAUACAUGCAAGUCGAGCGAACAGACGAGGAGCUUGCUCCUCUGACGUUAGCGGCGGACGGGUGAGUAACACGUGGAUAACCUACCUAUAAGACUGGGAUAACUUCGGGAAACCGGAGCUAAUACCGGAUAAUAUAUUGAACCGCAUGGUUCAAUAGUGAAAGACGGUUUUGCUGUCACUUAAAGAUGGAUCCGCGCCGCAUUAGCUAGUUGGUAAGGUAACGGCUUACCAAGGCAACGAUGCGUAGCCGACCUGAGAGGGUGAUCGGCCACACUGGAACUGAGACACGGUCCAGACUCCUACGGGAGGCAGCAGUAGGGAAUCUUCCGCAAUGGGCGAAAGCCUGACGGAGCAACGCCGCGUGAGUGAUGAAGGUCUUCGGAUCGUAAAACUCUGUUAUUAGGGAAGAACAAAUGUGUAAGUAACUAUGCACGUCUUGACGGUACCUAAUCAGAAAGCCACGGCUAACUACGUG
Molecule: ribosomal RNA, 497 nt
Filed under: uncultured bacterium
Lineage: Bacteria
Description: partial 16S ribosomal RNA
Rfam family: Bacterial small subunit ribosomal RNA
Source: RNAcentral